Molecule: ribosomal RNA, 464 nt
Filed under: uncultured bacterium
Lineage: Bacteria
Description: partial 16S ribosomal RNA
Rfam family: Bacterial small subunit ribosomal RNA
Source: RNAcentral
CCUACGGGGAGCAGCAGUGGGGAAUAUUGCGCAAUGGGCGAAAGCCUGACGCAGCGACGCCGCGUGAGGGAUGAAGGUCUUCGGAUCGUAAACCUCUGUCAGCAGGGAAGAACGGUCACUGUGCUAAUCAGCAGUGAAUUGACGGUACCUGCAAAGGAAGCACCGGCUAACUCCGUGCCAGCAGCCGCGGUAAUACGGAGGGUGCGAGCGUUAAUCGGAAUUACUGGGCGUAAAGCGCUCGUAGGCGGUAUGUCAAGUCAGCGGUAAAAUUGAGAGGCUCAACCUCUUCGAGCCGUUGAAACUGGUUUUCUUGAGUGAGUGAGAAGUAUGCGGAAUGCGUGGGGUAGCGGUGAAAUGCAUAGAUAUCACGCAGAACUCCGAUUGCGAAGGCAGCAUACCGGCGCUCAACUGACGCUCAUGCACGAAAGUGUGGGUAUCGAACAGGAUUAGAUACCCCUGUAGUC